UCGAGGGGUAUUGGGAGCUUGCUUCCAGAGACCGGCGCACGGGUGCGUAACGCGUAUGCAACCUACCUUUCACAGGGGGAUAGCCCAGAGAAAUUUGGAUUAAUACCCCAUGGUAUUAUCGGGUGGCAUCAUUUGAUAAUUAAAGUUCCAACGGUGAAAGAUGGGCAUGCGUCCUAUUAGCUGGUUGGUGUGGUAACGGCACACCAAGGCGACGAUAGGUAGGGGUCCUGAGAGGGAGAUCCCCCACACUGGUACUGAGACACGGACCAGACUCCUACGGGAGGCAGCAGUGAGGAAUAUUGGUCAAUGGACGCAAGUCUGAACCAGCCAUGCCGCGUGCAGGAUGAAGCAUCUAUGGUGUGUAAACUGCUUUUAUACGGGAAGAACCCCCGCCUCGUGAGGCGGACUGACGGUACCGUAAGAAUAAGGACCGGCUAACUCCGUGCCAGCAGCCGCGGUAAUACGGAGGGUCCAAGCGUUAUCCGGAAUCAUUGGGUUUAAAGGGUCCGUAGGCGGCCCGGUAAGUCAGUGGUGAAAUCUCCCCGCUCAACGGGGAAACGGCCAUUGAUACUGCCGGGCUUGAAUAACCAGGAAGUAACUAGAAUAUGU
Molecule: ribosomal RNA, 609 nt
Filed under: uncultured Bacteroidota bacterium
Lineage: Bacteria; Pseudomonadati; Bacteroidota
Description: bacterial SSU rRNA
Rfam family: Bacterial small subunit ribosomal RNA
Source: RNAcentral